GAGUGAAGCGGCAACAGCUCAAAUUUGAAAUCUGGCUCCUUUGGGGUCCGAGUUGUAAUUUGCAGAGGGUGCUUUGGCGUUGGCGGCGGUCUAAGUUCCUUGGAACAGGACAUCACAGAGGGUGAGAAUCCCGUACGUGGUCGCCUGCCUUCGCCGUGUAAAGCCCCUUCGACGAGUCGAGUUGUUUGGGAAUGCAGCUCUAAAUGGGAGGUAAAUUUCUUCUAAAGCUAAAUACCGGCCAGAGACCGAUAGCGCACAAGUAGAGUGAUCGAAAGAUGAAAAGCACUUUGGAAAGAGAGUCAAACAGCACGUGAAAUUGUUAAAAGGGAAGCGCUUGCAGCCAGACUUGCCUGUAGUUGCUCACCCGGGCUUUUGCCCGGGGCACUCUUCUGCAGGCAGGCCAGCAUCAGUUUGGGCGGUCGGACAAAGGCCUCUGACACGUACUUCCUCUCGGGGAUGACAUAUAGGGGAGGCGUAAUGCGACCAGCCUGGACUGAGGUCCGCGCAUCUGCUAGGAUGCUGGCGUAAUGGCUGUAAGCGGCCCGUCUUGAAACACGGACCAAGGAGUCUAACAUCUAUGCGAGUGUUUGGGUGUCAAGCCCGAGCGCGUAAUGAAAGUGAACGGAGGUGGGAACCCCUCGGGGCGCACCAUCGACCGAUCCUGAUGUCUUCGGAUGGAUUUGAGUAAGAGCAUAGCUGUUGGGACCCGAAAGAUGGUGAACUAUGCUUGAAUAGGGUGAAGCCAGAGGAAACUCUGGUGGAGGCUCGCAGCGGUUCUGACGUGCAAAUCGAUCGUCAAAUUUGGG
RNAcentral lists this ribosomal RNA (806 nucleotides) under Periconia digitata. RNAcentral's name for it is "partial large subunit ribosomal RNA". It matches the Rfam family "Eukaryotic large subunit ribosomal RNA", at positions 91 to 915 of the family's 3401-position model. Lineage: Eukaryota; Fungi; Ascomycota; Dothideomycetes; Pleosporales; Periconiaceae. The record is from RNAcentral.